AUUGAACGCUGGCGGCAGGCCUAACACAUGCAAGUCGAGCGGAUGAAGGGAGCUUGCUCCUGGAUUCAGCGGCGGACGGGUGAGUAAUGCCUAGGAAUCUGCCUGGUAGUGGGGGAUAACGUCCGGAAACGGGCGCUAAUACCGCAUACGUCCUGAGGGAGAAAGUGGGGGAUCUUCGGACCUCACGCUAUCAGAUGAGCCUAGGUCGGAUUAGCUAGUUGGUGGGGUAAAGGCCUACCAAGGCGACGAUCCGUAACUGGUCUGAGAGGAUGAUCAGUCACACUGGAACUGAGGCACGGUCCAGACUCCUACGGGGGGCAGCAGUGGGGAAUAUUGGACAAUGGGCGAAAGCCUGAUCCAGCCAUGCCGCGUGUGUGAAGAAGGUCUUCGGAUUGUAAAGCACUUUAAGUUGGGAGGAAGGGCAGUAAGUUAAUACCUUGCUGUUUUGACGUUACCAACAGAAUAAGCACCGGCUAACUUCGUG
Molecule: ribosomal RNA, 484 nt
Filed under: uncultured bacterium
Lineage: Bacteria
Description: partial 16S ribosomal RNA
Rfam family: Bacterial small subunit ribosomal RNA
Source: RNAcentral